Thunnus maccoyii (southern bluefin tuna) is the source of this 7240-nucleotide long non-coding RNA. RefSeq lists it as uncharacterized. NCBI's taxonomy places the organism in Eukaryota, Metazoa, Chordata, Actinopteri, Scombriformes, Scombridae. The record is from RefSeq and is a predicted model, not a curated record. The transcript is spliced from 6 exons.
UAGUCCAGUAUCCAGCUCUUAUAAUACAUCCAUGCUUCUGAAGAGCAGAGAGGACUCCCCACCACAGUCAAGGGGUUCUCGUCUUAUGCAGCAAACAGCACUAGCAGGGACACUGUAGCUUGUUUGUUUUGUCGUUGAUUCCACCCCCUUAGUGCCCCCUUAAUUGGGCCCCUGCCACUCUAUUUAGCUACCGGGAGUUUUAAACGCUAGCAAACUGCCCUGAGUGCGGCAUAUUGUCGCACACUGUGACGUCACUGUCAAGGUGAUGCGUUUUUUUUUAUUUUUCACUGUAGCUAGGGGGUAAAAUGGAGAGAAAGUACAAAUUGAGUGCAGUGAAACGCAAGGAGCCAGAGAGUAAGAACAGCGCAUAAUCAAGCUAACGUCAUUGCUAGCACUACUAGCCUGACAGUGGCUAACGGCCAGACUAUCCAACCUCACUUUUUCUGUGUGUUGAGCGGGACAUAAACAUUGACAAAAUGCCAUCAUGAAGGAGAGGAGGAUGAAGUCUUAAAAAGGGACCGUGAUAUGUACACAAUUCGUUAACCUGUUCAGGUUAUUUUGUUCUAUGGAGGAUGGUGGAAUACACAAAUGGACUACACUAAACUACAGCAGGCUGAGCAGGGACAACAAUUGGGUUGCGGUGACAGCAGACUGAGCAAGGAAACCCUACCGAUGUCCUACCAGCUGGACGUUCCCAGACACCCUGGAGAUUUGUAUCCGCAAUCUCAUUCGUUCAGUCAUCACUCAAAGCUUGGGGCCAAAGUGACAGGAUAGAUGGGAGAUAAAGAGAAGGAACAACACAGCCUACUGCCAAGAAUGAAAAGGAAGCAGAUUAAAUGUAAAACUAAAGACUGCAAUCAACCCAAAGAGCAUCCAUCAAUUAACGAGUGAAUACAGAUAGAGGCGUCUGUCGUCUGUGCCAAAGUGCCAGAGAAUGGUCAGAGCCCUCAGCUACAUGAAGAGAAUGAUGCGCCAGCCUUAAAGGUGGUAAUGCCAUGCAGUGUAAUGUAAGAGGUGAUGACGGUAGGUAUUUGAGAGAUUACUUAGACGAGUCAGUAGACAAAACUCAACAAUCAUUCUCAUUUACCAGUACUUUACCGUGUCAUUUUUGUUUAUUCACAUUACGCUUUUUCUCUGCCGUCGUUGUUGCUACUGACUUUCUCCGGUGGCAUAGGAAGGGUGUAGACGGUCAUUUUUCACAUGCUCAAGUACCAGGAAUGAAACCCUGAAACCCAUAAUGACUCCAUAUUCACAGUGUAUGACACACUCCUUGAACCAUAACAAUCAUCAGACAGCUAAUAAAUGAACACUUGAUAGCUAAUUAGCACUAGCUGAGACUAGCAGUAGCUGACAAAGGGAAAGGCAAUGGGACAUGUGGACAUCACUCAUUAGGCAUCACUCAAUAGGCUGAAUUUCAUCCAAAUUGAACUGGCAAACGUGUUCUGCACAAAAAGGCUUGAAAAGCUUUUGAAUCAGAUCCGUUCAUGUGCACAUGAGUCAGUUAUUCCGCCAAAAUAGCACAGAAUGUAUGAUACCUGUGCUUUGGACAGGGUUUUCAAGAGCAAGCAUACAUCUUGGUAAUGAUGGCAGAAUUGGACACAUCUCUGAUGCCUCUGCCACUGUAGGCCUUUACAUAUCAGCACAGAGACAUCCAAUAGGACAGUAUGCAUUCAUUUGCCUUAAUACAACUGUAUCUAUGAGGAUUAAGUGUGGAAGUACUAAAAACCGACAUUUCCCACAAUAUUUUCACAAGUUGUGCAGCUUCGGUUCACCAUAAAAUAUGGUGUGGUGUCGAACUGGCACUACCACAUCAUGCUGAGUACAACUUAGUCUCACUUCGCCAACUCAAAGCCCCACCAUCUGCCACGUUCUGUCACAUUAAUAUUAGAGCCCAUUAACUUUUGUUUGUUCAGUUCUGUUCUAUUUAUAUGUGUGAACGAGUACAUGUUUUUUUGUUUUUUCUUCAAGGAAACAUCCACCAUAAGGCUUUGGCUCAUAUAUGUUUCAGACCAGCUAUUCAUCUUGUCAUUCUAGAUCCGGCGUGAUCUCAAAGCUCGUUUUGUUGACCAAUGCAGCACCAGGAAAAAGCCUGCAGGCUGUGUAUACCAAGCAGGUGUAUACCAAGUUAAAAAAAAGGAAACCUUUCUAUUUGAUGCAAGAUCAAGCACAAACCAGUCAGACAGUUAGCCUGCCAGGGAGCCAGACAGGCAGGCACGGGGGUGUCAAUGGACGAAAAACAAAGAGAAAAGGAGCUGCUGUUGCAGCUUUUCCCUAAAAGCUCGUUAAUCCCAAUUUAGCUGUCACAGGGAUGAGGUAGGUGGGAGUUUGUGUGGUUGUGUGUGUUAGACCUGUGUGUGUUAGAGACACAGAAUGUGAAGCAGAGAAUAAAGUCUUUGCAGCCUCACACCCUUGCUUUGUGAGCUGUCACAUCAACCAGCUAAUUAGCCUGAUGGCCAAUGAAAAGUUAAUUUCCUCGGUCUACCAGCAAUGCUGUCUGUGUUUGCAAGGGUUGGGGUGAAUAAGGGUUUAAGGCAUUCUUCUAAAAGACUUCAUUUUAAUUGUACAGAACUGAGGUUAGAGGUGUUAAAUCCUAGAGAGCAUGACUGUUUCAAGUCAAGUCUUCCAUCUGUUUAAAAAUCAUUCAAUAAAAUUAAUAGUUAAUUAGUUGGAAUAUAUUUUUUUUUUUUUACUUUUGACAGCUUGGCUAGUGUUUUCUACUAAACAUGGCCGCAUUAACAUAAAGGCAUGAAAUGGAUAUCAAUCUUCUUAUCCCACUCUCAGAGAGAAGGCAAAUAAGCGCACAGUAUUUCCCAAAAUUUUGAGCUCCUUUUUUAUAAUAAAAAGUUUAACCAUGACAACACAUGUAAACCUGAGCAGUCACAGUAAUCUAAUGUGGUGAAAUAUUCACAUUAAGAAUGUCGUUAAAUAACAGGAAUUUGGAAAAAAAAAAAAAGUGAUGUGUUUACUAUGUGAAAGACCCAGUCAAGAGACAGUUGUGCUCUCUGCAGAGAGGGUGACUGUUGUUCACCCAGUGCACAGGCAAGAAUAUCUAUCAAGAUGCAAUGUCUUGCCUAGACCAAUUAUCCACCAUUCGUCAUGCAGUCUGUGAGAGUGCAUACAUACAGCAUGUGAGUCUGUGUGUGUGUGUGUGUGUGUGUGUGUGAGAGAGAGAGAGAAAGGGUGUGAGAGAAAGUCGUCUGAAUCAGCUUUCCUCUCUGAGCUCUUAAUUAGUGUUGAAUGUACAGAGAAUCUGACAAUGGGAAGUGUGCACAUCUGCAUAUACCUGCAAAGGUUUAAUCCAUCAGAUCUACCUGGAAGGCCGCCAGGAGCAGGAAAAACAACACCUUUUACUCCUAUCACCUGUGUCAGACACACACACACACACACACACACACAUACACACAAACCCCCCUUCUGUCCAGACCUUCUCCAGUAUUCCAAGACCAAUCCUAUUGUUUAAUUUUUCAAAAGAUAAUGUGCUUAUUUUAAAGGCUUUUUCCUCACUCUCCCAGAAUCACUUAGAGGUAAAUGGGACAAAAGUUCAACAGAUUGAAGAGUUUAGUUGAGAAAUUGAACUGUGCUGACGCAGUACAGAUAAGGAUUACAGUAUGUGAGGUGCAGGAGAGGACAGUCUGCAUGGUGAGUCAAAGAAUAUAAAACAAGAAGCCACACAUUUAGUCAUAAUAAGUUUUUGAAGAAAGUACACUUGAGUCAUCUUCUUACACUUCUCACAGUCAGAGGUUCACAUCCGCUCGAGCCACUGUCAGCUAUCUUUGUUCAACCCUGUCUGCUACGAAUUACUUUCAUAUGCAACUAUUCUGCAUUAAUGAUUUACAUUCAGCUGCAGUGCUCAGUGCCAGCACAGGAAGUACUGUGAUGUUCACGGGUAAGGUAAGGGAAGUGUAAGCAUUUCACUGACAUUUUAUUAUUUAAUCAUUAUGACAAUGUUUCUCUGCUCCCUAGUCAUGCCUUAAUCAUCCCUAAUGGUUUUUAGACAUGGAUGUCGGACUAAGUAUUUCAUGUUUGUAGUAAAAGCUGUGGAGAUAGACUAUAAUAUUAAAAUAAUAAUCAUCAUCAUAAAAGUGUCCUUGGUGGCAUAAGAUUUCCAUCUAAGUAUAUUUUGCUAAUGGAAAAUAGUAGCACAGUUGCCCUGAUAAUACUGUCAGGGACAGAACGAACUCAUUCUGUCAAGCUAAUGCAAAUCAGUGGAACAUUGUUGUCUCGCACCGUUGUUUUCGCAUCUUCAGAAUCAGAAACCGCCAACCUCAGCUGGUUAUCCAUAACUUUCCACAGAUAAUAGGAUAAUUGAAACAGAGAAGGUGGCAGAAAUGUUGGUUAGGGCCAUGCUGUUAUUUGUAUGAGCUAUGCAAAACUUGAAACACACACAAGUACAGUAUGGUAGUUGUUGAUAUUUAUGUACAUCCAGUGUAUUAGCUCCUUGUUUGGAUGGAUUUUAUUGGCAUAUUCACCCUGGACAGAUGUGACCCAAGAGGCUUCUGAAUAUUUCUCAGUAGCAGAGUAUUGAGUGUCCAGCCACUCAAUACUGUAUUUAUAUUUUACAAUAGUCCACCACAUAAACAGAUUUUGUUUUUCUUUAUAAUUUAUCAUUUUAUUAAAUAUUACCAAUUCCAGCUCUCAAGGCAGACACACACCAGCCUGUACUGAGGAACAUAUAAAAGCCUACAUAGUUAGCCUUUAACACAAUUCCUAGAUUAAUUCAAUCUAUGUUGGUUUCUUCAAACAGCCGAUGUGUCUGAGCUCAAUUUAUUUAUAGCGACUGCAGCAUAAACUUUGAGUAACUUUGUACUUUCUUCACUGUAUAAAACCUAAACCUAUUUUUUCUAUUCAAUACUUGUAAGUAGACAGUGAACAGGCCUUCUAAAUAAAGCAACAUCUGAGUGAACAUGUUCUUGAUUCAGAAUUGGUUGGCGAUGUGCAUUUAAAUGAUCCUCCCUCUAAUCCCUCACCUUCCCAACAACAAUGACAUAAACACUGAAGUAAAGACUGUAAAGGCUGAUUAAAUGUGACAAUGUCAGAUUUGUAUGAAAAUACUCACAAACCAGUUUUGGACCACCGCAGAGAAAAAACAAAAUUGUGUCUUUUGAGAUUUAAAAAAAAGAAAAAAAAAACAGCAAAAGUCAAUACAAAAAACAGUAGGAAACUGACUUAUACUCUCAACCAAAUGUUUUUUAUUUUUAACAUUAUCAGCAUGUAAAAUGUACUUCACAAUGGGGAUUCUUCAGUCCCAGAUGUCUCUGCUGGAUGCCAUCAUUUUAUUUUGUCUAUUUAUUUUUGGCUCUGUUUUUUUACGCAUCUCUCUUGUGCAGCUUUAUACCUUUCUUCAAGCUCUUUGUAUUUAUUGGCAUUUUUUUAAAUCCCCUCUCUGCUUUUCAAAUUCAAUUGACUUUUUCCUUUUUUUUUUUUUUUUUUUUUCCUUUCCACUUACCCUCUCUCAAUUCAGCCUUUCAUUACAUAUGCCUACUGAAAUACAGUCUCCAUUUGGAAUCAAUCAGGUCCCAAAAACUAAAUGCUUAAUUCCAUCUGUCAUUAAAUAUUAACAGAAUGAAACUGUGUCCUGAGUUGUAAAAAAGUGAUAAAGGAGUGGAGUAGAGGGGCUCGUGGGGUGUCUAAUGAAAAUUUAAUACUUCUAUAAUAGUGUUUUGAGUGAUAUUUUCAUUAUUCCAUAAUGACACUGGAAAGUCUCAGCGGUUGAUAAUUAGCCCCCCACCCAUGUAAUAAUUCUAUCUCUCCUUUUUUUUCUGUUUCUCCAUCUUUUUUCCUCCAUCAGAUGUCAUAAUUCAGCACAUCAUUCUUACUUUGGGAAAUUAAAACCCCUUUAAGCAAUUCUUUUUUCUCUGCUCUGCCGCAGCAUCUGUGGUUUUUGGCAACGCUAUCACUGUGUGCGUUCACGAGCAGCCAGCUGCCAGUGUUCCUUGAUCUGACUACCUGGAUAUAAAGAGUCCCUGAAACAGACCGUACACAUUCAACGAGCAGGCGCUGCCAGGGGUUCACUGUUCAUUGAGUCGUCAAGGUUUCUAAACUAAAGAAAUGUCAACCCUCAGUCCAAAUUGUGCUCAUAAUAUCAACAAGGCAACAAUGUGAAAUCAUCAUGUCCUUCCAGACAGUAUAUCCAUAUUAACACCCCCAAAGUCAACAACUUGAUGUUGGUGAAGAACGAAGCAGUGCAGGUGAGAACGCUGAUGUUUGACGAUUCCGCAGAACCCCAGAUCAUGUUCAACCCGUCAACCUCAACCCCAUUUUUAAGCCCAAUGAGAGUGUUUUUUUUAUAAUACUAUUCUUUCUACAAUAUCUGUUCAUCAAACUAGAGCUUUGUUAAAGUUAGGGAAAGAUUGUGGUUACAGUUAAUAAAAACUUCAGGCCUGUGACAGGAUGUGUAUACUAGGAUAGGAUGUCUCCUGCAUGACAGUCAGAUAUGCUGUACAUCUAUCCAACACCCCAACAUUGAUUUCCACCUAACUACACAUACCUUAGGGCACACUACUUCCUGCAUUGGCACUGACCUUUGGCGUAAAGCCUGAGGUAUAUGGACAUAAUUCCUAGGAUACUUAGCUGAAAUAUCCAGUUCAGAUAGAAGUGUCAUGGCCCUUUCACACCACUGGAACUUAUCUUGUAACCCAGGAAUCCUUUUAGGAGCUUUACCUGAGUUUUACCGCAGUAACCUGGUUUCAGUUUUGCUCCCAAGAUAAUAUUUCCAGGUUGUCCAGCAACUAUAAGGAUGGAGUCUGGAGAGCUGAAUUACCGACUGCUCAAACAUAAGUCUCUGGAUUGUAUACUAAAUGUCUAUAUGUGGUAUAUACUAGCAUUCACUUCAUUUGACUGUCAACUAGCAGUGGUUAUCGCUACAGCACCAAUAUUAUGAGUUGGGAUACAGAUUUCUUUUGCAUGGGCAACUCUGUAAAAAAGAUCAAGAGAUAGGGAGCAAAUUUAAUGCAAUUUACUAAUAUUUAAAUACAGUUAAUUUACUAAAGCAAAAAAUAACAGAUCACUUCUUUCAGACAGGCAUCUAGUCUUUCUGGUGAUUAAAGUCUCCCUCUCAUCUUUUUUCCAACAUCCAUUCAAACAUUAAAAUCAACAACAUCAUGACCCUGUGUUUGUGUCUUAUUGUGUGCACCUGAAAAGAGGCUGCUGGGUUUAGUUCAUGGGACUAUUUUCUCAAAAUCACCAUCAUUGAUUGCUGUGUUGAACUGGAGAACCGAUACUUCCUAUUUACAUCCCUCUC